This 254-nucleotide ribosomal RNA is filed under the name uncultured bacterium. RNAcentral describes it as "partial 16S ribosomal RNA". It matches the Rfam family "Bacterial small subunit ribosomal RNA", at positions 524 to 776 of the family's 1533-position model. The record is from RNAcentral.
UACGGAGGGCGCAAGCGUUGUUCGGAAUUACUGGGCGUAAAGCGCGGGCAGGUGGUCUGUUAAGUCGUUUGUGAAAAUCCGGGGCUCAACCCCGUGAAAUGCGUACGAUACUGGCAGGCUGGAGAUCGGUAGAGGCUAGCGGAAUUCCUGGUGUAGCGGUGGAAUGCGUAGAGAUCAGGAAGAACACCCGUGGCGAAGGCGGCUAGCUGGGCCGAGUCUGACACUCAUCCGAGAAAGCGUGGGGAGCAAACAGG